CACUAACCCACACUCAGUCACCUGUCCACACUCAUAAUCACUCACUCACUAACCCACACUCACUCAAACUCACACUCAGUCUCUCUCACAUGCACUCAGUCUCUCUCUCACACACUCAUCUAUUACAGUCUCUCACACACUCACUGUCUCUCACACUCACACACUCUCUCACACUCAAUCUAAAUUUUUAAAAUAAGUCUACUUACAGUUUGAAGUCAGGAGAUCUCUGCCUUCUGCCUUCAGCUUGUCAGCUCCAGC
Molecule: non-coding RNA, 258 nt
Organism: Pelobates cultripes (western spadefoot toad)
Lineage: Eukaryota; Metazoa; Chordata; Amphibia; Anura; Pelobatidae
Source: the annotation of a GenBank genome assembly